CCUACGGGAGGCAGCAGUGGGGAAUAUUGGACAAUGGGGGAAACCCUGAUCCAGCGACGCCGCGUGAGUGAAGAAGUAUUUCGGUACGUAAAGCUCUAUCAGCAGGGAAGAAAAUGACGGUACCUGACUAAGAAGCCCCGGCUAACUACGUGCCAGCAGCCGCGGUAAUACGUAGGGGGCAAGCGUUAUCCGGAUUUACUGGGUGUAAAGGGAGCGUAGACGGCAGCACAAGUCUGGAGUGAAAUCCCGGGGCUGAACCCCGGAACUGCUUUGGAAACUGUGCGGCUGGAGUGCAGGAGGGGUAAGCGGAAUGCCUAGUGGAGCGGUGAAAUGCGUAGAUAUUAGGAGGAACACCGGUGGCGAAGGCGGCUUACUGGACUGUAACUGACGUUGAGGCGCGAAAGCGUGGGGAGCAAACAGGAUUAGAUACCCGAGUAGUC
This 440-nucleotide ribosomal RNA is filed under the name uncultured bacterium. RNAcentral's name for it is "partial 16S ribosomal RNA". It matches the Rfam family "Bacterial small subunit ribosomal RNA", at positions 338 to 795 of the family's 1533-position model. The record is from RNAcentral.